This 617-nucleotide ribosomal RNA is filed under the name Exophiala heteromorpha. RNAcentral describes it as "eukaryotic LSU rRNA". The stretch from base 203 to 357 matches the Rfam family "5.8S ribosomal RNA". The record is from RNAcentral. Lineage: Eukaryota; Fungi; Ascomycota; Eurotiomycetes; Chaetothyriales; Herpotrichiellaceae.
GGGAUUUUAGAGUAGGGUCUUCUCGGCCCGACCUCCCACCCUUUGUUUAUCACACCCUUGUUGCUUCGGCGGGCCCGCCUUCACAGGCCGCCGGAGGACCGUCUCUCGGUCCUCUGGCCCGCGCCCGCCGGUAGCCAAACCUAUCAAACUCUUGCAUAAAAGCGUGUCUAUAAUGUCUGAAUACUAUAUUAAAUAAAAGCAAAACUUUCAACAACGGAUCUCUUGGUUCUGGCAUCGAUGAAGAACGCAGCGAAAUGCGAUAAGUAAUGCGAAUUGCAGAAUUCCAGUGAGUCAUCGAAUCUUUGAACGCACAUUGCGCCCUUUGGUAUUCCGAAGGGCAUGCCUGUUCGAGCGUCAUUAUCACCCCUCAAGCCUUCCGGCUUGGUGUUGGACGGUCUGGUCGAGCCCGCCUCGACCCCUCCCAAAGACAAUGACGGCGGCCUGGUUGGACCCCCGGUACAUGGAGCUUCUUUAUUGAGCACGUAUCGGUUUUCAAGGCGUCCCCGGGACCCGGUCUUCUCUCUCCCGUUCGCGGGAGGGAAACCCCCCUUUUUCUAAGGUUGACCUCGGAUCAGGUAGGAAUACCCGCUGAACUUAAGCAUAUCAAUAAGCGGAGG